This 71-nucleotide transfer RNA is filed under the name Porphyrio hochstetteri (South Island takahe). Its description in RNAcentral is "tRNA-Lys". Lineage: Eukaryota; Metazoa; Chordata; Aves; Gruiformes; Rallidae. The record is from RNAcentral.
CAUUAAGAAGCUAUGCAACAGCACUAGCCUUUUAAGCUAGCAAAAGAGGUCCACCAACGCCUCCUUAAUGA